AUACACCUUACGGGUGGCAGCAGUAGGGAAUAUUGGGCAAUGGGCGAAAGCCUGACCCAGCAACGCCGCGUGUGUGAUGAAGGCCUUCGGGUCGUAAAACACUUUUCUGGGAGAUGAGAAAGGACAGUAUCUCAGGAAUAAGUCUCGGCUAACUACGUGCCAGCAGCCGCGGUAAAACGUAGGAGGCAAGCGUUAUCCGGAUUUACUGGGCGUAAAGCGCGUGCAGGUGGUUCGGUAAGUUGGAUGUGAAAGCUCCUGGCUCAACUGGGAGAGGUCGUUCAAUACUACCGGACUUGAGAGCAGUAGAGGGAUGUGGAAUUCCCGGUGUAGUGGUGAAAUGCGUAGAUAUCGGGAGGAACACCAGUGGCGAAAGCGGCAUCCUGGACUGUUUCUGACACUCAGACGCGAAAGCUAGGGUAGCAAACGGGAUUAGAGACCCCGGUAGUCCUAGCUGUAAACGAUGUGAACUUGGCGUCGGCGGGUUCAAAGCCGUCGGUGCCGAAGCUAACGCGAUAGUUCACCGCCUGGGGACUACGGCCGCAAGGUUAAAACUUCCAAAGGAAUUGACGGGACCCCGGCACAAGCCAGCGGAGCGCGUGGUUUAAUUCGGAUGUUACACGAAAGAACCUUUACCCAGGUUUGACAUGCAAGUGGUAGUGAAGCGAAAGCAGAACGACCCUUCGGGGAGCUUGCACAGGUGUUGCAUGGCUGUCGUCAGCUCGUGUCGUGAGAUGUUCGGUUAAGUCCGCUAACGAGCGCAACCCUUACUGUAUGUUACAUGUGUCAUACGGGACCGCCGGUAUCAAGCCGGAGGAAGGUGGGGAUGACGUCAAGUCAGCAUGGCCUUUAUAUCUGGGGCUACACACACGCUACAAUGGCCGGUACAAUGGGUUGCUAAGCCGCGAGGUAGAGCCAAUCCCCAAAACCGGCCUCAGUUCAGAUCACAGGCUGAAACCCGCCUGUGUGAAGUCGGAGUUGCUAGUAAACGCGCGUCAGCUAUAGUGCGUUGAAUACGU
Molecule: ribosomal RNA, 1016 nt
Filed under: uncultured bacterium
Lineage: Bacteria
Description: bacterial SSU rRNA
Rfam family: Bacterial small subunit ribosomal RNA
Source: RNAcentral